This is a long non-coding RNA of Scleropages formosus (Asian bonytongue), 1261 nucleotides long. RefSeq lists it as uncharacterized. The record is from RefSeq and is a predicted model, not a curated record. Lineage: Eukaryota; Metazoa; Chordata; Actinopteri; Osteoglossiformes; Osteoglossidae. The transcript has 2 exons.
CGUGCGGGCACGGCUAAAAAUGUCCGAGCGGUUGUGGAAAAGUAAACGUGACACAACGGUGCGGAAAUGAAGUAAGAGAGCGGCUGAUUAGGUAAAGGAACUAAGGCGCAUUUGGCGCCUUGUGAGCGACGUGCGGAUCGGGACGAUGUGGACCGAGGCGGUGAGUUGCGAUCGCAGGCGGGCGUUAAAUCUUAGCUGCCCACACUCCCGUCCUCUGAGUGUGUGUGUGAGAGAGAGAGAGAGAGAGAGAGAGAGAGAGAGAGAGAGAGAGAGAGAGAGAGAGAAAAGAGCCCUGCCCUUUUACUCCCAGCUGUGUGGCUCCCCAGGCCUCCCUGCCCCUUCCUGUGCGUCUCACCGCCCCGGCAAGGAGGAGGAUGCAGGCUCUGACGCCGACAAAAAGGAAUUCCCUCCUCUGGCCGGGAGCUCACUCGGGCCCCGUGUGGCUCCCUGACGCACGCUCGCCUGCCCCGUCUGCAUUGCGGAGGCGCAGACACCUCCCAGCCUAAAAGAGGAGCCCGGGAGCGAGCUCACUGAAGGGUCUUCCAUUGUCCCGCCGCUCUUCUGUAAACACUGAAUGUCAAAGUGAGCAAAGUAUCCCUUCCUGAUCCCUCCGCUGCUGACGUGUCUGGAUAGUGUCGAUAUCAGAAAAGCUGUUGGCGGCCCGCUCCCUACCCGCAGGUGAGGGGCUUCUAUGUUUCAGUCCUCACGUGGGGGGUCUGUCCUUGUCUUCUGUGCCUGCUCUGAUAACCAUCUCAAUCACUGUCUCACUCCAAGUGUCCCUCUGUCCCCCUUGUCCACAAUGCCAGUGCCAGUGUCUCACGCAAAAGAUCUAUCUGUCCUCCGCUUCUGUUUUGCACUUGUGCUGAGAAUAUUGUCUCACACCAGAGGUCUCUCUAAAUCCCCCCCCCCCCAGACUUCUAUGUGUCGAUUAUUAGCGUCUCAUUCCAAGGAUCUCUCUGCCACUCCCUUGUCUCCUGUGCUGUGUCCCUCCACGGGUCCCUCCGUUGCCCCAGCGUACUCGUCUCCCGUGCCUGCUGCGCUGAUAAUCAGCAACUCACUCCAGCUGGCUCAGUUCAGCAGGAACAGGAGCCUCGUGCCACCAGUGCUACGGUGGUGGUGGAAGAGGAGGAGGAAGAAAAGUCCUUCACACCAUAACUCCAAGAUCCAUUCUGAGAUCAAUACCGUUGCACACCGGUAACCCGAACGUGGACAGAGCAUAUUCAUCUGCUAAAAAUAAAAUAAAAAUGAAAUCGAACUCCAA